This 164-nucleotide ribosomal RNA is filed under the name uncultured bacterium. RNAcentral describes it as "partial 16S ribosomal RNA". It matches the Rfam family "Bacterial small subunit ribosomal RNA", at positions 355 to 511 of the family's 1533-position model. The record is from RNAcentral.
UAGGGAAUCUUCCACAAUGGACGAAAGUCUGAUGGAGCAACGCCGCGUGAGUGAAGAAGGGUUUUGGCUCGUAAAACUCUGUUGUUAAAGAAGAACAUAUCUGAGAGUAACUGUUCAGGUAUUGACGGUAUUUAACCAGAAAGCCACGGCUAACUACGUGUCAG